GCGCUGCACAAAUCGCACGCGUGUACCAUAUUUCAAAUUAAUAAAUUAGUUAUUAUUAAAUAUAUAUAUAUAAAUUAGUUAGCAGUAAUUGUAUACAUUAGAAGAGUAAGAAAAAACAAAAAUACACUUUUAAAAAAUAUCCUUUUUUGUAUACUUAAUACGCAUAAAAAUGAAAAAUUUGGUUUUUCGAUUGAUUGUAAACGUCGGAUUGAAAUGAUAACAUGGCGGCGAUGCAAGAAAUGUCGCGGUCCGAGACACGGCCGAUAGAAAGUCAGAUAGUAGUUCAAAGUUCAACUUACGCAUGUGACAAAAAACUUAAGGGGUCAAAAAAAUAAUGCGAAAUGGCGCAAAGGACCGAAAUGUAGGAGAAACGUCGAAAAAAUAGUGCUACGCUAGCCGAAAUCCUAAAAAAGUCUACUUUGACUGAAUUUUGUUAGUUUUUAAUAUUGCUAUUAGCUGAAUAUUGUCUUUUCCACAAAUAAAAAAUUAUUGUUUUGUUUAAAUCAACAAGGAAUAUUUAUCAAAUGCACACAGAGGUAACAAAAAAAUGUUACGGUAUUUAUGUUAAAUGGUUGAAGUUGUUAUUUAGUUGAGAAGCUAUUGGUUUUAAAUUGUUGUGUUUUUAUCCUGUAAACGUCUUUACUUUCGCUCCUAUUGAACUGGUUUUACUUAACGAUAAGUCAAAAAAUCAUGUAUCUAAUUACUAUUAACGAGUAUACUGUCAGCACUAUAGAUUUGAAAAGUUCACCAAUAAAACAGUUAAUAUUUUCUGUUUUCACAUUA
Molecule: long non-coding RNA, 783 nt
Organism: Daktulosphaira vitifoliae (grape phylloxera)
Lineage: Eukaryota; Metazoa; Arthropoda; Insecta; Hemiptera; Phylloxeridae
Exons: 2
Source: RefSeq, a predicted model, not a curated record